This 379-nucleotide long non-coding RNA is filed under the name Manihot esculenta (cassava). RNAcentral describes it as "long non-coding RNA (MESC_LNC004487)". Lineage: Eukaryota; Viridiplantae; Streptophyta; Magnoliopsida; Malpighiales; Euphorbiaceae. The record is from RNAcentral.
AUCACAUCACAACUAAUCACAUCAAGGAUGAAUUUGUCACCAAUAGUCCCCUACAUGGACCAACUGUGCCAGGGGCGUAGAAUGGGCCUCACUGGUCUUUCUCUUACAUAACAUAACAUAACAUGGUCCAACUGUGUCAGGGGCGUAGAAUGGGCCUCACUGGUCUUUCCCUUACAUAGUGCCAGGGGCGUAGAAUGGGCCUCACUGGUCUUCCGUACCGUAUCAUCAUCAUCAUAGCAUAGGGGGACUAAUGGAUCAUUCAACAUCCAUCCACAUCAUCAAACAUAAUAUGCAAUGCAACAUAUUCGUGAGUCUAAUGCAACACCCUAUUAUCUCAUGGCAUUCAUGAUGCGUGAAUCAUGCUAAAACUGAUUUAUUU